AUUGAACGCUGGCGGUAUGCUUAACACAUGCAAGUCGAACGGUAACAGGCCUUCGGGCGCUGACGAGUGGCGGACGGGUGAGUAACGCGUAGGAAUCUGCCUCAUAGUGGGGGACAACGUGGGGAAACUCACGCUAAUACCGCAUACGCCCUACGGGGGAAAGCGGGGGAUCUUCGGACCCCGCGCUAUGAGAUGAGCCUGCGUUAGAUUAGCUAGUUGGUAGGGUAAAGGCCUACCAAGGCGACGAUCUAUAGCUGGUCUGAGAGGACGAUCAGCCACACUGGGACUGAGACACGGCCCAGACUCCUACGGGAGGCAGCAGUGGGGAAUAUUGGACAAUGGGCGCAAGCCUGAUCCAGCAAUACCGCGUGUGUGAAGAAGGCCCUAGGGUUGUAAAGCACUUUCAAUUGGGAGGAAAACCUGCCGGUCAAUACCCGGCAGCUUGACAUUACCUGCAGAAAAAGCACCGGCUAACUACGUGCCAGCCGCCGCCGUAA
Molecule: ribosomal RNA, 497 nt
Filed under: uncultured bacterium
Lineage: Bacteria
Description: partial 16S ribosomal RNA
Rfam family: Bacterial small subunit ribosomal RNA
Source: RNAcentral